CUCACCAGGAGGACCCGGGCUCUGGCGGCACUUGAUUCCUAUGCUUCGUGACCCAGCUGUUCUGCAUUGACCUGGCCAGAAGUAGUGGGAAAGAAGAGAGUUUUCCUUCAGGAGGAACCAUUUCACCCUUACUAGUGACCCAGGCUGAAGUCAUAUGAGUAUUUCAUCAUUCAAGGAAUUUGCCAAGAAGUUGAGGAGAUGAAAUGUGCCUUCAAAAACUGAAAGGAAAAACAACAAUAACAACAAAACUAUCAAGUUCAAAGAACAUUAGAAGUUUGGAGGAGGGAAAAUGACAACCAGUGAAUGGACAAAGACAACAUAAAAAAAUACUGACAGGCUGCUGAAGGUCAGAGGCAGCCAAGAAAAGCCACUUCCUUAUACACCACCUGUCUCAAAUAUAUACCACCUGUCCCAACGCCUGAACCUGCUCAAACUUGCAAAACAAUUUACGUGCUAAUAGUUCCUGCCGACCCCAGCCAUAUAAACCCUGUUACAACCAGACUCGGUGCCACCUCUGUCAUCCCGACCAGAGAGUUCGCCUGGCAACAUACCCCAAUAAACUUUUAUUUUAUUCACCUUUA
Dipodomys spectabilis (banner-tailed kangaroo rat) is the source of this 581-nucleotide long non-coding RNA. RefSeq lists it as uncharacterized. NCBI's taxonomy places the organism in Eukaryota, Metazoa, Chordata, Mammalia, Rodentia, Heteromyidae. The record is from RefSeq and is a predicted model, not a curated record. The transcript is spliced from 2 exons.